GGGGCUGUGUGAGACCAAAUUUUCCAAAGAUGGCCAAACCAAUCUAUAUCACAACCCACAUGCUCUUCUGAUAACACGACAGCGUCCUUCUUCCUGAACUGGGGUGGAUUUUGUAACUGCCUCAAUCAACAGAAUGCACAGGAGUGAUGUUUUGUGACUGUCAGUGCCAGAUCAUAAAAGAUGUGACUUCCUCCUGGUUCUGUCUCCCUUCUCCUUUGGACUCAGCCACUAUGUUGUGAGGAAGCCUAGGCCACAUGGAGAGGCCACAUAGAUGUGUUCCAGGCAGCAGCCCCAGCAAAGGUCUCAAUCAACCACCAUAUGUGUGAGUGAAGGAACCUUCAGAUAAUUUUGCUUCCCAGACUUCAAGUCUUUCAGCUGGGGUCCAAGACAUCACAAGGCAGAGACAAGCCCUCCUGGAAUUCCCCACCCACCGUGAGCAUAAGAAAACUUGAAAGCGGUGUAAAUGGCUCUUAUCUGAACCACAAUGAAUUCACAUAUUCAAGUUGGCUUCUUCGGAAAUUUCAGGCCACAAAUGGCAGUGAUGCGACCAGGAGCAGUAACACGAUUACAAGUCGCAAUUUAGGAAGGGUGCUCCAUCAUCAUUUCAUGAUUCUCACUACAGCCCAGACAGGUGGGCAGAGCAGUGUUCUUUCCCCUUUAAUGAAUGAAGAAGCUGAGCCUCAAACAGAUGAGGGGGCUUCCUGGGUUCACAGAGCUCUAAAGGGCUGAGCUGUAGAUCCACGGCCACCAUGAUGAGCUAAGAGUUUCUGGAUUCAGUGCCUGCUGUUGCUCCUGGAGAUUUGUAUCCUGAUUGAAGGCUGGUUCCAUAUCUGUUCACCCAGUGCCACUUCCAUCCGGACAGAAGGAACCCAGGUCAAGGCUGACAGGAGGAGCAGGAGCCGUCAAUGAGAGCAGACCUCAGAAGCCAACGGAGGUGAGAAGAGCACCAUCCACAGCCCCAUCCUCUGAAUGCUGUGGGAAGAAGUCCACAAAAUACCACCCCUUGGAGUCAGUCAGUAGUAGAGCCCUUGCUGCUGGCUGCAAAUACCCCAUCAGAACAUGUUUGGGGUGAUUCUUGGACCUGGUUUCAAUUUCUUUUCUGCCAGUCAGCAGUUGUGCUUGACUCACAAUUUGUUGCCAUCUCUUGAAUUAAACUCAGGAAACAGGAUAAAGAUCAGAACCACAUUGUAAAAGCUUCCUUAUGGUUCAUUUUUUGCUGAGAUAAAUAAUGAGCAGCUCUGAUCCAUGUCUCUGGAGAGCUCAGAGCACACUACCAGGAGCUCCUAGCCACAGGGUGAGCACAGGUGGCUGGUGUUCUCUUGAUGAGGAAAGACAGCAGUGUCCAAUCUACCCUGCCUUACACGGAGCCCCAGGUGCUCUCCCGGACUGUGUUGCUACCUAAAGCACAUGGCAAUUGCAUGAUGCUAACCAGAGCAGCCCCUCACUCAUUAGAAACAUCUGCUUUGCAUUAUUUACACAGGCAAAGUUUUCCUUUUUACUGAGCCUACCCAGUUCAAACUUAAGUGGGAUUUGCCAGCUAUCUGGCUAAUUUUAUGAGCAAUAAUAAAGAUUGGU
RNAcentral lists this long non-coding RNA (1575 nucleotides) under Homo sapiens (human). RNAcentral describes it as "HSALNT0357836". Lineage: Eukaryota; Metazoa; Chordata; Mammalia; Primates; Hominidae. The record is from RNAcentral.